RNAcentral lists this ribosomal RNA (253 nucleotides) under uncultured bacterium. RNAcentral's name for it is "partial 16S ribosomal RNA". It matches the Rfam family "Bacterial small subunit ribosomal RNA", at positions 524 to 776 of the family's 1533-position model. The record is from RNAcentral.
UACGUAGGGGGCAAGCGUUGUCCGGAUUUAUUGGGCGUAAAGAGCGUGUAGGCGGCCAGAUAGGUCCGUUGUGAAAACUCGAGGCUCAACCUCGAGACGCCGAUGGAAACCAUUUGGCUAGAGUCCGGAAGAGGAGAGUGGAAUUCCCGGUGUAGUGGUGAAAUGCGUAGAUAUCGGGAGGAACACCAGUGGCGAAGGCGGCUACCUGGCCCAUUCUUGACGCUGAGGCGCGAAAGCUAGGGGAGCAAACGGG